UGCCAGCAGCCGCGGUAAUACGGAGGGUGCACGCGUUAAUCGGAAUUACUGGGCGUAAAGCGCGCGUAGGUGGUUUGGUAAGUUGGAUGUGAAAUCCCCGGGCUUAACCUGGGAACUGCAUUCAAAACUGCCAGACUAGAGUGUGAUAGAGGGAAGUGGAAUUUCAGGUGUAGCGGUGAAAUGCGUAGAUAUCUGAAGGAACACCAGUGGCGAAGGCGGCUUCCUGGAUCAACACUGACACAGAGGUGCGAAAGCGUGGGGAGCAAACAGGAUUAGAUA
Molecule: ribosomal RNA, 279 nt
Filed under: uncultured bacterium
Lineage: Bacteria
Description: partial 16S ribosomal RNA
Rfam family: Bacterial small subunit ribosomal RNA
Source: RNAcentral